This 468-nucleotide ribosomal RNA is filed under the name uncultured bacterium. Its description in RNAcentral is "partial 16S ribosomal RNA". It matches the Rfam family "Bacterial small subunit ribosomal RNA", at positions 28 to 507 of the family's 1533-position model. The record is from RNAcentral.
GACGAACGCUGGCGGCGUGCUUAACACAUGCAAGUCGAACGAUGAUGCCAGCUUGCUGGUGGAUUAGUGGCGAACGGGUGCGUAACACGUGAGCAACCUGCCCCUGACUUCGGGAUAACCGCGGGAAACCGUGGCUAAUACCGGAUAUGACGCGCUAUCGCAUGGUGGUGUGUGGAAAGAUUUAUCGGUUGGGGAUGGGCUCGCGGCCUAUCAGCUUGUUGGUGGGGUGAUGGCCUACCAAGGCGACGACGGGUAGCCGGCCUGAGAGGGUGACCGGCCACACUGGGACUGAGACACGGCCCAGACUCCUACGGGAGGCAGCAGUGGGGAAUAUGGCACAAUGGGCGCAAGCCUGAUGCAGCGACGCCGCGUGAGGGAUGACGGCCUUCGGGUUGUAAACCUCUUUCAGUAGGGAAGAAGGCCUUCGGGUUGACGGUACCUGCAGAAGAAGCGCCGGCUAACUACGUG